GCCCCUCCUCCCUUUCCAAAGGGAGCUGCUCACCUUUGCUCUCCUGUCAGCGAGUCCCCUCUCUGUAUUCCAGCCCCUGGGCCCCCACCUGGCCCCCAUCCAGCUGCCCCUGGGGCCCCUCUCUCCUCUCCGUGGCCUCGCUCCGUCUCAGCCCCUCGUCCUCCGUGGCUCCCCGAGCGUGGGCAGCGUGGUGGACUCCGACCUGAUGGCCAGGGAAGGAACUCAGCUUGCAGAGAUCUGUAAGCCCACUGGGCACACCAGGAACCUGCUGGGCUUGCUCUGUGACGACGAGAAGAUUUCCUUGGACACGGCGGCUCUGGAUAAAUGGAGGAACGAGGAGGACGACAGUGAAAAUGAGAGUUUCCGUGGGACAUCAGGACUGCUAAAAAACCUGUACUUGGAUGUGGACGCCCUGGGAGGCAGCUUUGACUUUGAGCUUUCAAAGGCGUCGGAGAUCAGUGGGGAGGACCUGCAUGUCUCCAACAGCUCCAACAGGGAGCUGGCUCAGCCUGUGGUGAGUCACCAAAAACUCCUUGUCCCUUGGGUGUGGGGCUUCAGGUUCCUCUGGGAUGGUGCAGCCAGGGAGUGCU
RNAcentral lists this long non-coding RNA (590 nucleotides) under Manacus vitellinus (golden-collared manakin). Its description in RNAcentral is "lncRNA (ENSMVIG00005003140.1)". Lineage: Eukaryota; Metazoa; Chordata; Aves; Passeriformes; Pipridae. The record is from RNAcentral.